UAAAUCUUGUCUUGUCUUGUCUUAUGCAAUUUAUUGUUUUUCUCUCUUAAAUAUUCUUUUCUUUCUAUUAGCUUGAUACACUUCCCAACACUGACCUCUUUAAUCGACUUUGCGAAGGAAUUUCAAGCAGGUGUACAUGAACUAAGACCUGGGGGAAGAUAAGAUGUUGCACCACUGGUUAUAGAGAGAGAGAGAGAAAAAAAAGUAUGAUGUAAGCCAUUUAACCAAUUCCCUUCCUAAUUAAUAUUCAUUAUUAUUAAAAUAAUCAAUAUUUAUUUA
Molecule: long non-coding RNA, 279 nt
Organism: Nicotiana tabacum (common tobacco)
Lineage: Eukaryota; Viridiplantae; Streptophyta; Magnoliopsida; Solanales; Solanaceae
Source: RefSeq, a predicted model, not a curated record